CUCAAUGUACGGAAAUCUUUUUCAUAUUCUGCUUUCAUGGUAUUAGAGCACGAAAGUUGAAUUUUCUUUCAUUUUCUCACUGAUUUUUACCAAUCAAACGCUUAAACCCAUUCUUCAUUCUUCGUCAUUUCUUCUCAUUUUUGGCUCAUUAUGUUGUUCUUGAAUUUGUGAUUCUUAAUCUGUUUUCAUUUUAUCUCACUGCUCUCUAUGUUACGCUAGAUCUUGGAUACUUUUAGGGUUUUCUUGAAAUCAUGACAAGUACAAAUUCUUUGAUUUCAGUUAUGGAUGAUCCUUUUUCAUCGUACUUUCUGCACCACUCAGACAAUCACAGACCUAAACUGACUAUUCAUAACUUUGUCUCUUGGAAAAGAUCUUUUGUUCUAGCUAUUUCCAUAAGGAAUAAGUUGAGAUUCCUUGACGGUAUCAUUCCUAAACCUAAGGAAACAUAUCCUUUUUUCCUUGCUUGGACAAGAUGUAACAAGCUGCUAAUUGCUCGGCUUUUUACUUUCGGUUUCUCCUUCGAUAGCUUCUACAGUGUUCUAUAUGAAUUUUGCUAGUAAAAUCUGUGAUACUUUGAAUUAGAGGUUCAGGCAGCCAGAUGAUACGAAAGUUUGCCAUCUUCAACAUAUGCUAUACAAUCUCACACAAGGUCCAUUCAUCAUAGAUGAGGACUAGACUUGCUAGGAUGCAAGCUGGGCUAUAUUUUCUUCGAUAGGACAUUUCAAAAACUCCUGAGUCCAUUGUACCUAGUUCUAAUUCAGUCAAUUGUAUUUCUCAUUUCAACUCAGCAACUACAAAUUAUACUUCUUCUGUUCAUAAUGUUUCUUUUAAUGUUUAGCAUUAUAGACUAGGACAUCCUUCUCAAGCCAAGCUCUUCUUUCUCUUAUCCUUUCCAUUGCCAAACAACCUACUGUAACUCCUUGUUCUGUUUUCCCAAAGGCCAAGCAGAAAAGGAAUUCUUUUCCAAUUCAUAUUAAUAAUACUACUCACACUUUUGAAAUUGUGCAUGUUGACAUAUGGGGCCCUCAUUCUCAAGCUGAUAUUUCUGGUUACCACUAUUUUCUUAACUUUGUGGAUGAUUUUUCUAAAUCAACUUGGGUUUUCCUUAUGCAUAAUAAGUCUGAAGCUUUCCAAUUACUGCAACAGUUCUGUAAUCUGAUCCUUAAUCAAUUUCAUGUUAGCAUCAAGAUCAUAAGAACAGAUAAAGCUCCCGAGUUUGCUAUCUCUAGUUUCUAUUCUCAUAAAGAAAUUCUUGAUAAAAAAUCGUGCACUUAUACUCCUUAGCAGAAUGGAGUUGUUGAAAGAAAACAUCAACAUCUCCUUAAUAUUGCUAGAUCUCUUCUAUUUUAUACCUACAUAUUUUUGGGGGGAUGCAGUGCUUACUGCUAUAUACAUUAGAAUUCCAACUUCUUUCUUACAAAACAGAGGUCGAUUUGAAAUAUUGUUUUAGAAAACACCUUCUUAUGAUCAUUUUAAAGUAUUUGGUUGCUUAACCUUUGCUUCCACUAUAUCUAAUCAUAGAAAGAAGUUUGAGCCUAGGUCCAGAAAGUAUGUUUUUAUUGGAUAUCUUGUUGGUGUUAAAGGUUAUAGGCUCUAUGAUCUUGAUACUAAAGCAGUCAUUAUUUCCAAGGAUGUACAAUUUCAUGAGUUUAUGUUCCCUUUUCAAGAUCUUUCUCUCUCUUCUGAUAUGGUACUACCCCAUUUGUCUGAUCAUGACAUUCAUUUCGAUAGUUAUUCACCUCCUGUUCACUCUAAUGUCCCAGCUGCAUCUCAUGCUCCAGCAUCAUCUCAUGAUUAUGCAUCUUCUCUUUCUCCUUCUUCUUCUCCUGCCAUUACUUUGCCUCUAACUGUCCCUACCAGACAGCACAAGAAUUUCUAGAUUAUCUACAUACUUACAAGCCUAUCACCAUUCUUUGAAAAUCGGUACUUCUUCAGUUAUAGAACUUCUCAUCCUCUUCAUCAUUAUCUUUCUUACAGUAAUCUUUCUACUCUUCAUAAGCAUUUUGCACUUUCCAUUUCCUUACAAACAGAACGUACUUCUUAUAACCAAGUUCUUAAACAUGAGCAUUGAAGAGUUGCCAUAAAAGACGAACUUGAGGCUUUAACAGCAAAUCAAACUUGGACAGUGGUUCCUUUACCCCAAGGACAACAUGUCAUUGGCUCUAAAUAGGUUUAAAAGACUAAGCAUGACUCAGAUGGUUCAAUUGAAAGGUUCAAGGCUCGUUUGGUGGCUAAGAGGUAUAGCCAAAAGUAUGCUUUCGAUUAUGAAAAAACGUUUAGCCCUAUCGUUAUGCACACUACAGUCAGGGCACUGCUUGCUGUGGCUGCUGUCAAGGGUUGGUCAUUUUCUCACUUGGAUGUAAAUAAUGCCUUUUUAAAUGGUGACCUUCUUAAGGAUGUUUACAUGGAGAUUCCUGAAGAUUUUGAGCUUCAGGGGGAGAAUUACAUGUUUGAAUAUGCAAACUUUUAAUUCUGUUAGCAGUGUUAAUUGUCAAGCUAGAUUAGUGUAUAAGUUACAGAGAUCACUGUAUGGUUUGGAACAAGCUUCCAGAUAAUGGAAUGCUAAGUUGGCAGAAUGUUUAACACAUAUUGAGUUUAUUCAGUCUAAGGCAGAUUACUCAAUGUCUAUAACGCAGUCUGAGAAAGGAUUUAUUGCUAUUCUAGUAUAUGGAUGAUAUUCUCAUAGCAAGUUCUAAUAAACUUCUUAAUGAACAAUUGAAGCAAGUUCUAAAUUCAAGUUCUAAAUUGAAGAAUUUAGGAAACUCAAAGUUUUUCAUUGGACUUGAGAUAUCAAGUCUGGAAUUUCUUUAUACCAGAGGAAAUAUACACUUGAUCUUUUGGAAGAAUAUGGUUUUCUUGGUGCCAAGCCAAAUAAUGUUCCAGUUGAAGUGAAUCACAAGUUGGUUAAUACUUAUGAGAAUUUGCUUAGUGAUCCUUUAAGUUAUAGACAGCUGGUGGGAAAACUUCUUUAUCUAACUGUCUUAAGACCAAACAUCUCAUACACUGUCCAUCUUUUGAUACAGUUUAUGUUUAAGCCAGCUGAAACACAUCUUAUGGCAGCUCAUAAGGUGUUGAAGUAUUUGAAGAAGUCUCCAAGAUAAGGGGUUUUCUUUCCUGCAGAAUCUUAUUUGAAGCUAAAAGCUUAUUGUAAUAGUGAUUGGGCAGGCUGUAAAGAUUCAAGGAGAUCACCAACAAGUUUCAAUAUUUCUCUUGGUGGAUCUUUGAUUAGUUGGAAGACAAAGAAGCAGAAUGUAGUAGCCAGAAGCUCAAUAGAGGCAGAAUAUAGAUCAAUGGCUUCCACUACUUCUGAAGUUCUAUGGAUUCUUUUCUUAUUAAAGGACUUGGGAGUAAAACAUGAAGGAUAUGUUGAUUUGAAUUGUGAUAAUAUGUCUGCUAUACAUAUAAGCAAAAAUCAUGUUUUCCAUGAGAAAUCGAAGCCCAUAGAGAUUGACUGCCAUUUUAUCAGAUGACAAAGUCAUCAAAGGUGUCAUUAAACCAGUUUAUAUCAGCACUCAUGAACAAGUUACUGACAUUCACACAAAGGCUUUGAAUUCUAGGCAGUUUAAUUACUUACUUUUCAAGAUGAGAGCAUACAUAAUAUAUAUGCACAUCUUGAGGGGGGUGUAUAUAGUUGUACAUAGCCAUGGUUAUUUUAGUCAUUUCUAUUUAAGUAGUUAUGUAUUUUGUUAUUCCUUUACACUCUGUAUUUGUUGAUGCAUUCUCUAUAUAUAUAGAGAGAGAGAGAGAAGCAGCUCUUGUUCUUUGGUUAAACUCAAUAUACAGAAAUCUUUUUCA
This is a long non-coding RNA of Ricinus communis (castor bean), 3795 nucleotides long. RefSeq lists it as uncharacterized. The record is from RefSeq and is a predicted model, not a curated record. NCBI's taxonomy places the organism in Eukaryota, Viridiplantae, Streptophyta, Magnoliopsida, Malpighiales, Euphorbiaceae. The transcript is spliced from 2 exons.